AAAGGUUUGAGGGAUGAAAGAAAAAAACAAUUUUUUUUUUGCUGCCGAUGUAGCGACGGAGGAAUCUGUCACAGCAACAGCAACGAUAGUAGUAUUCCAUCGUAUUUUAUCCCAUACCAUCAUCAUAUCUCGUCCAUUGUAGCUAGUAAUAACACAAUGAUCCUAUAUGAUUUGAAUCAAUACUGAGUGUGCUAGAUAUACACUUAUACUUUUUGCUUCACUCUUAAAUUCUCACUUCUCUUAAAUGUUCACUUCUCUUAAAUUCUCACUUCACUCUUAUACUCUCACUACUGUAGUUUUUACUACUACAGUAUUGAUUACUACUACCAAAUAAGGGGUAUUUUCUUCCUACUGUAGCAUAGUCUAUUCUACUCUACGCUUCACUGCACUGCACUGCAAUGUAUUACACAAGCAAAAUCAUUUAACAGUCCAUUUCUCUGUAUACGCUACAAUGCCUUAUGAAUGUUUAACAUUUGACCAAGAGACUGUGUUUCACAGCACUUGGGGUUCCCCCACUUGACGCCUUGGGCUAAACACUGGGGGGGAGAGAAGGAGGGGGUUUGCAUAGGGAAGAGGAAAAGACGGUUAUGUUAUUGCUUGAUUAAGGAAUUUCUUGUUUUAUGGUUUCCUUAGUAAAUGCCGCCAUUCGGUGACCUCCACCUUUGGUGUCGAGGUUGAGUUUUCUAGAUAAAUAAACAAGGAUGCUACGCUCGUCAUCGCCGCUCAUAUCGACCCUUUUCAACAAGUUCUGGCUUGGACGAGUUUGUCCAGUUUAGGGACUCUCCGCAGCUUAAUAAAUUUGACUCCCGGAGGAAUCAGAAGAUGACGUUGACAAGAAAAAGCGGACACAUUAGGGCUAAAAAAGCCAAAUCGCCAAAAGUCUCGAAUGGGGAUGCGUUGCGAUGCGAUAAAUGAGAAUUACGAGUCGCAGUACAAGCACGGUCGAGAGAGAGAGAGAGAAAAAAUGCAGUAGGAGGAAAUAGAGAGACGAGAUAAAGCGACAAUAUAAAAUUCAAAUAAAAAGACUUCGAAAAUGGAUUCAAGAUUGUAAAAUAUGCACAAUCAUCAAAAUAAUUACCCA
Non-coding RNA from Schizosaccharomyces pombe (fission yeast), 1081 nucleotides. The record is from the annotation of a GenBank genome assembly. Lineage: Eukaryota; Fungi; Ascomycota; Schizosaccharomycetes; Schizosaccharomycetales; Schizosaccharomycetaceae.